AAUAAUUAUAAUAAUAAUAAUACUGGGACUCCAAAAAAAUGUAUCAUAUAGAGAAUUAAACAUUUGUAUUUGUAUAAUGAUAAUGAGAAACUUGUGGGGCAGCCUCGCUCAGCCUUGACUAUCAAUGAGAAAUAUUCCUGAUCUUCACGGGACCUUGACCCUUGGGGUCGAGUCACAGCUCCUGGUCCUGCCUCUUCUCUGGGUCAGGAGGUCAUAUAUCAGCUCUUACAGACUUUUGGAAGCCUGAGUCAUACACCACAUAUCAUCGUAGACACGUAAUAAAUACAGUAACAAGGAAAAUGAUCAGAAACAUUUUGAGAGGAAACAAGAGUGUGAUGGUGACAGUGUUGAGAUGUAGACAACCUCACAGUAACAAUUUAAUGAGUUUACAG
This is a non-coding RNA of Cherax quadricarinatus, 392 nucleotides long. The record is from RefSeq and is a predicted model, not a curated record. NCBI's taxonomy places the organism in Eukaryota, Metazoa, Arthropoda, Malacostraca, Decapoda, Parastacidae.